This 497-nucleotide ribosomal RNA is filed under the name uncultured bacterium. RNAcentral describes it as "partial 16S ribosomal RNA". It matches the Rfam family "Bacterial small subunit ribosomal RNA", at positions 28 to 507 of the family's 1533-position model. The record is from RNAcentral.
GAUGAACGCUGGCGGCGUGCCUAAUACAUGCAAGUCGAGCGAACAGACGAGGAGCUUGCUCCUCUGACGUUAGCGGCGGACGGGUGAGUAACACGUGGAUAACCUACCUAUAAGACUGGGAUAACUUCGGGAAACCGGAGCUAAUACCGGAUAAUAUAUUGAACCGCAUGGUUCCAUAGUGAAAUACGGUUUUGCUGUCACUUAUAGAUGGAUCCGCGCCGCAUUAGCUAGUUGGUAAGGUAACGGCUUACCAAGGCAACGAUGCGUAGCCGACCUGAGAGGGUGAUCGGCCACACUGGAACUGAGACACGGUCCAGACUCCUACGGGAGGCAGCAGUAGGGAAUCUUCCGCAAUGGGCGAAAGCUUGACGGAGCAACGCCGCGUGAGUGAUGAAGGUCUUCGGAUCGUAAAACUCUGUUAUUAGGGAAGAACAAAUGUGUAAGUAACUAUGCACGUCUUGACGGUACCUAAUCAGAAAGCCACGGCUAACUACGUG